GUUGAAUACAACAUCUUUGUGGUAUAUGGUGUAUGCGAUGUAUAUGGGAGCAAUUUCAGGUAAGUUUGUUUUUCCAUAGCAUGUUCACUUCAAGGGGUUAAGGAAGUAGGCUACAAAGAAGGUUAAGGUUGCUUGGAAAGCAUUGGGAGAUUAAUGCACAUGUGAGGCAAAUUGCCAUGCUUCUCUAGAGCUCCUAGAGAGUAUUUGAUUGAUAAAGGGACACUAUAGUCACCAGAACUACAGCUUAUUGAAUUUGUUCUGGUGAGUAGAAUCAUUACCUUCAGGCCUUUUGCUGUAAAC
This is a non-coding RNA of Pelobates cultripes (western spadefoot toad), 300 nucleotides long. NCBI's taxonomy places the organism in Eukaryota, Metazoa, Chordata, Amphibia, Anura, Pelobatidae. The record is from the annotation of a GenBank genome assembly.